This 517-nucleotide ribosomal RNA is filed under the name uncultured bacterium. RNAcentral's name for it is "bacterial SSU rRNA". It matches the Rfam family "Bacterial small subunit ribosomal RNA", at positions 8 to 518 of the family's 1533-position model. The record is from RNAcentral.
AGAGUUUGAUCAUGGCUCAGGAUGAACGCUAGCGACAGGCCUAACACAUGCAAGUCGAGGGGCAGCGGGAGGUAGCAAUACUUCUGCCGGCGACCGGCGCACGGGUGCGUAACAGGUGUGCAAUCUGUCCAUAGUCGGGGGAUAGCCCGGCGAAAAGCCGAAUUAAUACUCCAUGUGUCAUUUAGCCGCAUGACUGGAUGAUGAAACGUAAGGACUAUGGGUGAGCACGCUUCUGAUUAGGUAGUUGGUGAGGUAACGGCCCACCAAGCCGACGAUCAGUAGGGGUUCUGAGAGGAAGGUCCCCCACAUUGGAACUGAGACACGGUCCAAACUCCUACGGGAGGCAGCAGUGAGGAAUAUUGGUCAAUGGACGAGAGUCUGAACCAGCCAAGUCGCCGUGAAGGAUGAAGGUUCUAUGGAUUGUAAACUUCUUUUGUCCGAGGGUAAAGUCGGGGACGUGUCCCCGUUGGCAAGUAUCGGACGAAUAAGCAUCGGCUAACUCCGUGCCAGCAGCCGC